UUGCAAGCCUCCAGCAUGCUUGGGUCUGGAGUGGCCCUGUGCAUUCCUCCAGUGCUUGCAAAAAACAGUUUUGAAACGGUUUGAGGCCUCGCUCUACACCAUCUACAGAGCAAGGUUAUAGAAAUUUCAGACAGUU
Molecule: small nucleolar RNA, 136 nt
Organism: Loxodonta africana (African savanna elephant)
Lineage: Eukaryota; Metazoa; Chordata; Mammalia; Proboscidea; Elephantidae
Product: small nucleolar RNA SNORA9
Source: Ensembl